RNAcentral lists this long non-coding RNA (4601 nucleotides) under Homo sapiens (human). RNAcentral's name for it is "non-protein coding lnc-SMIM10L2B-1:3". Lineage: Eukaryota; Metazoa; Chordata; Mammalia; Primates; Hominidae. The record is from RNAcentral.
GUUGGGGUCCCGCCGUCCUGAGGCUCGAGCUCUUGCGGGUCGAUCGGUCGGCGGGGCCUGCGCGGGGCCCGGGCCCAUGGCGGCGUCGGCGGCUCUGUCUGCGGCGGCGGCGGCGGCAGCCCUGUCUGGCUUGGCGGUUCGGCUGUCGCGCUCGGCGGCGGCCCGAGGCUCAUACGGCGCCUUCUGCAAGGGGCUCACGCGCACGCUGCUCACCUUCUUCGACCUGGCCUGGCGGCUGCGCAUGAACUUCCCCUACUUCUACAUCGUGGCCUCGGUGAUGCUCAACGUCCGCCUGCAAGUGCGGAUCGAGUGAGCGCCGGCGGCGGCGGCGGCCGCGGAGGCCCGGCUGGAGGGGCGACAGUGUCCCCGCCCGCCCCCGGCCGGGUCGCGGGCAUGAAGGACAGCUGGAUCGCGGCGGGGGGCGGAGGUGGGGCGGCCCGGGCCCCUGGACUCUAGACCUACGCCGCCCGGGCACGAAGGCCCAGCCCUGGCCCUGGCCGCGGUCUCAGCCCGGGACCCCGGAUCGCGCAGAAAUGCACUGAACAGGCCCCUACAAUUGGGCUCCAGAAACUACCUGAGCUCGGACUACCUGUUGCCUCACAUUGGCAAAAGAGGGGGAAACCAGAAGGAGGGAAUUCUGCUGCGGCGACUUGACUUUCCCCGCCCCGAGCAGAAAGGCAUUGACGUUUGUAGGCGGUGACCCGCCCCUUCUCUGGCCUUGCCAAGAGUCUCAUCCCUACCCUGGGGCACCUCUGACCCUGGACCUGCUUGGGCAGAGGCAGCGUGAAGGGCCUGAACAAGAGGAGAAGAAGGGCCUUCCUAGUAGAGGCACAGCAUGGACAAAGGCUCACAGGGCUCGACCCCCCCGCCAUCCCCAGGAUCACACAGGAGAAUCUCAUCCUCACGGCUUGGAUUGGUCCUGGGGGCCCCCGGUUGUGCUGCUAACUGGUGUACAAUGCUCAAGAGCAGCCCAGAGGGGAGCCAGGAAGGGACCCUCGCCCUCACCUGCUAUCCCCAUUUCCGCAUCUCUUGCACUGGUACCCUGAGGGCCACAUUCUCAGUUCCUGGGAUUGAAAACUGCAGCAGUCUGGCCAGCUCCAGGGACAGAGUGAUCCAACCACCUACCACGUACCCUCCUCAGCAGGCCACUGGACCCAGGUCCUGAAUGAAGCUGUCCGCCUGCCUCACCCCAGAAGAGGCUGGACAGUGGCUGCCUCGUGCCCCCUGCAGUCUCCCACAGCCAGGGCCCGAUGGGGUGCCUCCUUGUCCCAAGUCUCCUGAGAACCCCUGACCUUGCUGGCCUCUCUCAUCCGCCCCAACCCUGUCCACCCUUGACCACCUCUGGGGGCCUGUCAGCCUGCUGGUCCCCCCAACAGAUCUCUGGGGGCAGCCUCUGUGGGACAAGAGUGAUACAGAGCUGGAGGAGAAGAGGAGUGAGGGGCCUCCUUGUGUCUGAUGCACAGAUGUGGCCCUUUCAAACCCUGGUGUCACCCUCUGGGUGACUGGAUCCCUAGCUCCAGCCUCUUCCUGGGCCAGCCAGGAAGGGUGGAGGAAAGUUCUUUGCUGAUUGCAUGUGUGAUACAGUGGGGGGUGCCUGAGCCCUCCCCAUGCAAGGGGCUCAUCCUGGGACUCUGGAAGCUGCUUCCCUACUGGGAGAAAUGUGUGUCGGAGCUGCAGGGGUCCCUACCCUCAGAGACCCCCGACUGCAGGGAACCCACCCCAUAAGAGGGUCACGGAUGUCCAUGUCCGCCCACCCCCCGUGGCUUCUGCUGUGGCUAUAUUGGCCUAGAGGGGCUGACUGGGGAGGAGCAGGGCUAAGCCCUCAGCAUUUGCUCCUGUCCCUGCCUUUUCACCCCUGCUGCCUGAAGUGGUAGCCCCGCCUGCUGCUUCUCUACCUCCCCUCCCCACCUCUUCUCUCCCCUACAGGGCCCUUGCUGCGUGAUGGGGUCUCCAUGCACUUUAUUUAUUUGCAGUCUGUUUUCUAGGCGGUGGAGCUUCUAGACACCGACCGGAAUGACAUACGUUUCUGUGUGUGAUUCACUGUGUACUGGUCAGCACAGGCUGGCCAGAGAGAUGUUCUUGUUUCUGGUGUUGUCACGUCUUCUUGUUUUCUCUAAGUUUAAAAAAAAAAAAAAGUCCUUGGUUUAAUACACUAAAAUCCCAACUGGAGGCCUUCCGUGUCUGGUGGGGGUGAUGCAAUGGCCCCAGGUGGAGAGAGGCCCCAUGGUGAGGUCACCGGCUCCCAUGGCAAGGUCACCGGCUCCCAUGGCCAGGAGCUGGCAGGGAAAAGCCUCUGAGGAGUAGGGCUGGGGGAGGCUGUGGCAGGGACCGUGUUUCCUGUUCAGAGGCUGUGCUGAGAACCGACUUGACCCAGACCACUGCCCCAUGAGAAGCAGGCAGCAGCCUGGCCUGGCCCUGAGAGGUGGCUGCUUGUCCUGUUGACAGUCUCUGUUCAAAUGACCCAAAACAUAAGUCCUCUUCCGUUUUAGAGUCUGGUGAUCAAAAGUGCCUAAGUCAGUAGAAUCCUGAGGGUGGACUAGGGUGAAGUGAACUGAAACAGACUCCACGCAGGUCAUUUCGUGUAGCGCUGAGACCCUUCUCCCUGCCUGAGGUCACCUCCCACUGCCUCCCUACCAGCCAGGUUACUGCAGAACCCUGGAGAAGAUAAAGGACCUGGCCCUAGAAGCCUCCUUCCCUUCCCCAGCCUUGGAGGCAAACUCUGUCCCAUCAGAGUCCCCCUCCUUAGUGGCUCCCACAGGAGAGAGCUCCCUAAUGGCUGCUGUAAGGGUUGGCAAGCAGGCAAAAGGUGGGAGAGGGAAGGCCGAGGGGAGUGUUAGAGGAAGAUGCCUAGGUGAGAGGCAUCCUGAGGACACAGGGCUAUGCUCAGACUCAGGAGUGCAGUCUGAGUUUAGGGGCCCUGGGGGCACUCCUGUUGCCAAGGGCUACCCAGGGGUCACAGCACCCUGAUAAGAACCCCUCCAAAAGCACUAGUGCCAACAUCCUAUGGCAUCUGCCACCACAGGAGAAAUGGACCCCAGUCCCUGAGCUUCCCUCCCCUUUGUCUAGAUGGUCCUCUUCAGUCCCUGAUGGUCCCAUCCCCACUCCAGGGAUCACGUGACUUGGCAAACCAAGAUGGGGGAUGAUACCCCCAGAGCCUGGCUCCAAGGCCUCCUGAAGAGGCCCAUCCUUGCAACAGAGGAAGGGAAGGCAGGAAGGCCGGUUCUGCUCAAAUGGGACCCCAGGAGACCAAAGCCCUGAGCCGUGAAUCCAGCUCUUCCACUUACUACUGUAUGGUGCCAGGCAAACUGCACAACCUGGAGUUUUUAGUAAGGUUCCUUUGGGAUGCUUGUCAGCAGCGAAUACAAUGUCUGUUCAACGUUUGUCAUCAGCUCUCACCUGGAGAAGCCUUGUUACUGUGGGGAAAGGGAACCAAGUGAAGGGAACGGACAUCCGAUGAGAGCCUGCCAUGUGCCAGGCACCAUUCUAGGUGCUUUGCAUUCCUAAUCUCAUCAUAAUCCCACAACCACCUAACCUUUAUCUCCAUUUUACAGAGAAAUCAAGGACAGGAACCAAGUCUGAAAUAGAACCCCAAGCAGAAUCUCUUUUCCUGAGCUCCCAGUGCCCCUGGAGAGGCAGGGAAUUGGGCUGGAGUAAUGGUGGAAUGGAAUAGCAAAGGUGGAAGAUGACCCUGUUCUUUCUGGGUGGGGUCCAGGAGGCAGAUAAGAAAUCCAGGUGUGCCUGGGUGCGGUGGCUCAUGCCUGUAAUCCCAGCACUUUGGGAGGCCAAGGCGGGCGGAUCACAAGGUCAGGAGUUCAAGACCAGCCUGACCAACAUGGUGAAACCCCGUCUCUACUAAAAAUACAAAAAUUAGCUGGACGUGGUGGCGCAUGCCUAUAGUCCCAGCUACUUGGUUGGCUGAGGCAGGAGAAUCGCUUGAACCUGGGAGGCAGAGGUUGCAGUGAGCCAAGAUCUGGGCAACACAGUCAGACUCCGUCUGAAAAAAAAAAAAAAAAGAAAAAGAAAAGAAAAAUCCAGGGCUUGGAUGGGGGACAGACCUGGGAGCCCUCUCCAAAUGGAGCUCCCCAGUGGGCGCAGCUGGGGCCACCCUGAGAUGGGUUCACCUGUCUUUUCUCCAUCCUCCCUCCAGAGAUUGAUUGGGACCUAAGAGAUUGAGUCAGGAGAGGGCAAGAGAGCAGCUAAGCAGGCAGUUCCGGGGGCACCAGAGCAAAUACAUUAAGAAGUGGGAAAUAUAAAGAGCAUGCAAAACCUCAUCCUACUCCUGUUCACCCACCCACAAGGGAAACUGCUGCGUUUGGACAAAUUUCUACUUUGUGUUGGUGGAGGGAAGGAGAAAGAACAUACUACUUUGAAAACUUCUCCUCCCACUUCAUCUUUAUCUUUCCAUGUUAUUAGGUAUUUUUCUAUAUCCAAAGCCACCUAGUAGUCUCUUGUGUGAAGGUAUCAUGCAUUUCUCAUGCCUCUUGGUUGUUUCCCUUUAUUGUUUAUUUGGGGAGUUUGGUUUCUUGGUUGUUUGGUUUUUUUCUGUGGUUUUGUUUUUAUAAACAUUCCAGUAACAGAUAAGUUGGACCUCAUCAAAAUUA